UACCUGGUUGAUCCUGCCAGUAGUCAUAUGCUUGUCUCAAAGAUUAAGCCAUGCAUGUCUAAGUAUAAGCACUUGUACUGUGAAACUGCGAAUGGCUCAUUAAAUCAGUUAUCGUUUAUUUGAUUGUACUUUACUACAUGGAUACCUGUGGUAAUUCUAGAGCUAAUACAUGCGAAAAAUCCCGACUUCUGGAAGGGAUGUAUUUAUUAGAUUAAAAACCAAUGCGGAUCUUCGGGUCCGUUUUCUUGGUGAUUCAUGAUAACUUUUCGAAUCGCAUGGCCUAGCGCCGGCGAUAUUUCAUUCAAAUUUCUGCCCUAUCAACUGUCGAUGGUAAGGUAGUGGCUUACCAUGGUUAUAACGGGUGACGGAGAAUUAGGGUUCGAUUCCGGAGAGGGAGCCUGAGAAACGGCUACCACAUCUAAGGAAGGCAGCGGCUCGAAAAUUACCCAAUCCCAACUCGGGGAGGUAGUGACAAGAAAUAACGAUACGGGGUCUUAAUAGGUCUCGCAAUUGGAAUGAGUACAAUUUAAAUCCUUUAACGAGGAUCAAUUGGAGGGCAAGUCUGGUGCCAGCAGCCGCGGUAAUUCCAGCUCCAAUAGC
Molecule: ribosomal RNA, 600 nt
Filed under: uncultured marine eukaryote
Lineage: Eukaryota
Description: SSU rRNA
Rfam family: Eukaryotic small subunit ribosomal RNA
Source: RNAcentral